RNAcentral lists this ribosomal RNA (374 nucleotides) under uncultured bacterium. RNAcentral's name for it is "bacterial SSU rRNA". It matches the Rfam family "Bacterial small subunit ribosomal RNA", at positions 527 to 898 of the family's 1533-position model. The record is from RNAcentral.
GUAGGGCGCGAGCGUUGUCCGGAUUUAUUGGGCGUAAAGAGCUCGUAGGCGGCUUGUCGCGUCGACUGUGAAAUCCCGUGGCUCAACUGCGGGUCUGCAGUCGAUACGGGCAGGCUAGAGUUCGGUAGGGGAGACUGGAAUUCCUGGUGUAGCGGUGAAAUGCGCAGAUAUCAGGAGGAACACCGGUGGCGAAGGCGGGUCUCUGGGCCGAUACUGACGCUGAGGAGCGAAAGCGUGGGGAGCGAACAGGAUUAGAUACCCUGGUAGUCCACGCUGUAAACGUUGGGCGCUAGGUGUGGGGGGCCUCUCCGGUUCUCUGUGCCGCAGCUAACGCAUUAAGCGCCCCGCCUGGGGAGUACGGCCGCAAGGCUAAA